Molecule: ribosomal RNA, 468 nt
Filed under: uncultured bacterium
Lineage: Bacteria
Description: partial 16S ribosomal RNA
Rfam family: Bacterial small subunit ribosomal RNA
Source: RNAcentral
GACGAACGCUGGCGGCGUGCUUAACACAUGCAAGUCGAACGGAAAGGCCCUGCUUUUGUGGGGUGCUCGAGUGGCGAACGGGUGAGUAACACGUGAGUAACCUGCCCUUGACUGUGGGAUAACUUCAGGAAACUGGGGCUAAUACCGGAUAGGAGCUCCUGCUGCAUGGUGGGGGUUGGAAAGUUUCGGCGGUUGGGGAUGGACUCGCGGCUUAUCAGCUUGUGGGUGGGGUAGGGGCUUACCAAGGCUUUGACGGAUAGCCGGCAUGAGAGGGUGACCGGCCACAAUGGGACUGAGAUACGGCGCAGACUCCUACGGUAGGCAGCAGUGGGGAAUAUUGCCCAAUGGGCGGAAGCCUGAUGAAGCAACGCCGCGUGCGGGAUGCCGGCCUUCGGGUUGUAAACCGCUUGCGCCUGUGACGAAGCGUGAGUGACGGUAAUGGGUAAAGAAGCACCGGCUAACUACGUG